AUACGUAGGUGGCAAGCGUUGUCCGGAUUUACUGGGUGUAAAGGGAGCGUAGACGGAAGGCCAAGUCUGAUGUGAAAGCCCGCGGCUCAACUGCGGGACUGCAUUGGAAACUGGUCAUCUGGAGUGCAGGAGGGGAAAGCGGAAUUCCUAGAGUCGCGGGGAAAUGCGUAGAUAUUAGGAGGAACACCGGUGGCGAAGGCGGAUUUCUGGACAGUAACUGACGAUGCGGGGCGAAAGCGUGGGGAGAAAAAAGGAUUAGAUACCCUGGUAGUCCGCGCCAUAAACGAUGAAUACUAGGUGUAGGGGGUAUCGACCCCCUCUGUGCCGACGUUAACGCAUUAAGUAUUCCACCUGGGGAGUACGGCCGCAAGGCUGAAACUCAAAUGAAUUGACGGGG
This 397-nucleotide ribosomal RNA is filed under the name uncultured bacterium. RNAcentral describes it as "partial 16S ribosomal RNA". It matches the Rfam family "Bacterial small subunit ribosomal RNA", at positions 523 to 918 of the family's 1533-position model. The record is from RNAcentral.